This 253-nucleotide ribosomal RNA is filed under the name uncultured bacterium. Its description in RNAcentral is "partial 16S ribosomal RNA". It matches the Rfam family "Bacterial small subunit ribosomal RNA", at positions 524 to 776 of the family's 1533-position model. The record is from RNAcentral.
UACAGAGGAGCCAAGCGUUGUCCGGAUUGACUGGGCGUAAAGCGCACGCAGGCGGUUGCGCGCGUGGGGUGUGAAAUCUGGCCGCUUAACGGCCAGGCGCCAUCCCAUACGGCGCGACUGGAGUGAUGCAGAGGUCGAUGGAAUUGCCGGUGUAGUGGUGAAAUGCGUAGAGAUCGGCAGGAACACCCAGGGGGAAACCAGUCGACUGGGUAUCUACUGACGCUGAGGUGCGAGAGCGUGGGGAGCGAACCGG